Molecule: long non-coding RNA, 233 nt
Organism: Leopardus geoffroyi (Geoffroy's cat)
Lineage: Eukaryota; Metazoa; Chordata; Mammalia; Carnivora; Felidae
Exons: 2
Source: RefSeq, a predicted model, not a curated record
CACAGAGCCCAACAUGGGGCUCGAACUCAUGAACCAUGAGAUCAUGAGCUGAACCAAAGCCGGACGCUCAACCAACUGAGCCACCCAGGUGCCCCUAGAAUAUGGAGUUCAAAUCCCGACUCUACAGUUGUUGUGUGACCUCAGACUAGAUACUUAAUCUCUUUAUAUCAGCUUCCCCUUGGGAAAAAAAAAAAAAAAAAAAAAAUAGUACCUACUCCACAGCUGUUGAGGAG